This is a long non-coding RNA of Aquila chrysaetos chrysaetos, 505 nucleotides long. RefSeq lists it as uncharacterized. Lineage: Eukaryota; Metazoa; Chordata; Aves; Accipitriformes; Accipitridae. The record is from RefSeq and is a predicted model, not a curated record. The transcript has 3 exons.
CUUUGACCACUUGCCAUUUGAGGGAGGAGACUUGUUUUUGUGGACCCCGUUUGCCCAUCCAAGACGCCUGAGCUGCAUGACUCUUGAUCCUGGUGACCCCUUGGAAGAGGUGACGCAGCUAUCAGCAGAAGUGGCAACUCCUCGUUAAGAAGCUCAGAAAAAGCUGUCAGAGGUAUCUCCUUGAAGAUGGCAUCUCUGAGUCACGGAAUUGAAGCUAAUGGAAGACUCAUGUCAACAAACUGCUUCUGUUCCCCUGUGAUCAACAUGGGAGCAUUGCACAUUUAUGGUUUGAUGCAGUACCUCACAGGAGAACAAAUACAGCUCUGUAGCUGCAGCUGGAACUGAAGGAAAAACUACAAAAGAUUAAUUUUACCUGUAAAUUUUCAUAUUGUCAUUUAUCUGAAAUUUACCUAUCAAAGGGACACUAAGAACUGGUGAUAGAUUAUUUAUUAAGGAAUCUGGUAUGGCAAAUUGUUUAAAUAUUUGUGAUGUAUGAAGAAAAGCA